RNAcentral lists this ribosomal RNA (253 nucleotides) under uncultured bacterium. RNAcentral describes it as "partial 16S ribosomal RNA". It matches the Rfam family "Bacterial small subunit ribosomal RNA", at positions 524 to 776 of the family's 1533-position model. The record is from RNAcentral.
UACGAAGGGGGCUAGCGUUGCUCGGAAUCACUGGGCGUAAAGGGCGCGUAGGCGGCCAUUCAAGUCGGAGGUGAAAGCCCAGGGCUCAACCCUGGAAUUGCCUUCGAUACUGUUUGGCUAGAGACCGGAAGAGGUAAGUGGAACUGCGAGUGUAGAGGUGAAAUUCGUAGAUAUUCGCAAGAACACCAGUGGCGAAGGCGGCUUACUGGUCCGGUUCUGACGCUGAGGCGCGAAAGCUAGGGUAGCAAACGGG